RNAcentral lists this ribosomal RNA (111 nucleotides) under uncultured bacterium. Its description in RNAcentral is "partial 16S ribosomal RNA". It matches the Rfam family "Bacterial small subunit ribosomal RNA", at positions 244 to 354 of the family's 1533-position model. The record is from RNAcentral.
UCNCGUUGGUGAGGUAACGGCUCACCAAAGCAACGAUCAGUAGCUGGUCUGAGAGGACGACCAGCCACACUGGGACUGAGACACGGCCCAGACUCCUACGGAAGGCAGCAG